Sebastes umbrosus (honeycomb rockfish) is the source of this 227-nucleotide long non-coding RNA. RefSeq lists it as uncharacterized. The record is from RefSeq and is a predicted model, not a curated record. The transcript has 3 exons. Lineage: Eukaryota; Metazoa; Chordata; Actinopteri; Perciformes; Sebastidae.
UCUUAGAUCUGCCCUAUACUGUAUACUGUACACAUCAAUACCACUCAGGUGUAAUUCAUACUGUGCAAUAUUCAUUCUCACUGUGCAAUAUAAUUUUUCCACUUGUACAAUUCUGUUAAUAGUCUGGUAAUAGUCAAUACUGUAUAUAUUGUUCCUAUUUUUAUAUUUCCCUCUAUUUAAAUUGUUCUUUUUUGUUUCACUUUUUGCACCUCUUUUUCUACUGUGUU